This 395-nucleotide long non-coding RNA is filed under the name Capsella rubella. RNAcentral describes it as "long non-coding RNA (CRUB_LNC001257)". The record is from RNAcentral. Lineage: Eukaryota; Viridiplantae; Streptophyta; Magnoliopsida; Brassicales; Brassicaceae.
CAGAAAUGAAAUAAAGCAACAUCUAUAACUUAAAGUUAAAACUACACUCUGAUAAAAUUGACAUGUUAUCAUCGAAAGACAGUCAGUUGAGAAAACAUUUGAUUUACUGAAGCAGUAUUUUAACAUAACAUUCUUUUUACUGUUAAAAGCAAAAGUAUAAUAACAAUUUAUUUGUUUAAUAUAAAAGACUUUUAUUUUGUGUUAAAAAAGACUUCACAAUUUUUUUAUUUUUUUUUCGGAGACAGGAGCACUAUGUUUAUUUUAGUGCAUGGUUUUUAGCCGCCUUCUCAAAAUCUCGAAUUACUUGACUAUAGAAAGUGGGAAAAGUCGGGGUGAAUAACCACAAUUUACAAGUACAUUUCAUUGUCAAACACAAUUUACAUUUUACAUCGUAG